This 253-nucleotide ribosomal RNA is filed under the name uncultured bacterium. RNAcentral describes it as "partial 16S ribosomal RNA". It matches the Rfam family "Bacterial small subunit ribosomal RNA", at positions 524 to 776 of the family's 1533-position model. The record is from RNAcentral.
UACAGGGGGUGCAAACGUUGCUCGGAAUUAUUGGGCGUAAAGCGCGCGUAGGCGGCUACCUAAGUCGGAUGUGAAAGCCCCUGGCUUAACUGGGGAAGUGCACCCGAAACUGAGUAGCUAGAGUACGAAAGAGGGUCGCGGAAUUCCCGGUGUAGAGGUGAAAUUCGUAGAUAUCGGGAGGAACACCGGUGGCGAAGGCGGCGACCUGGGUCGAUACUGACGCUGAGGCGCGAAAGCGUGGGGAGCAAACAGG